GUUUUAAUAGUUUAACAAAAACUUUGGUCUUGUAAAUCAAAAAUGAAUUCUUUUCUUAAAACU
RNAcentral lists this transfer RNA (63 nucleotides) under Metanephrops sibogae (Siboga lobster). RNAcentral's name for it is "tRNA-Thr". It matches the Rfam family "tRNA". From Rfam's summary of the family: Transfer RNA (tRNA) molecules are approximately 80 nucleotides in length. Their secondary structure includes four short double-helical elements and three loops (D, anti-codon, and T loops). Further hydrogen bonds mediate the characteristic L-shaped molecular structure. tRNAs have two regions of fundamental functional importance: the anti-codon, which is responsible for specific mRNA codon recognition, and the 3' end, to which the tRNAs corresponding amino acid is attached (by aminoacyl-tRNA synthetases). tRNAs cope with the degeneracy of the genetic code in two manners: having more than one tRNA (with a specific anti-codon) for a particular amino acid; and 'wobble' base-pairing, i.e. permitting non-standard base-pairing at the 3rd anti-codon position. Lineage: Eukaryota; Metazoa; Arthropoda; Malacostraca; Decapoda; Nephropidae. The record is from RNAcentral.